CCCUUUGUUGCUCAAGCCUUGCAUUCUCUCAGUCUAGCCGAAGUCUAGCCAGAAAGAAAAGGAACGUUUCUUCCCGGUAGCCCUUCCUCCAGGCCCAGGAUUCCUUCAUCAGGCUUUGACCAUUUGGAUCAGGUCCUCACCCCCGCACUGAGGCGGGGCAUGCAGGGCACUGAUUCACCCAGCCUGGGUCACGUGCUUCUGGCCUGGCAACACCUGGAUUGAGUGGGAAGGACCUGGUUCCUCCUAAGGCAUCAAGGUGCUGCUUUAAACAGAAGGGAGGAUGCAUGAUGGUACAGUAAUCACAGUAAUAGAUGCCCACUGCCCUGAGCGGGUGCAGUAAGCACAGUAAUAGAUGCCCAUUGCCAUGAAGGGUGAACUGAGCACAGUAAUAGAUGCCCACUGCCCUGAGUGGGUGAAGUAAGCACAGUAAUAGAUGCCCACUGCCCUGAGCUGGUGCAGGAAGCACAGUAAUAGAUGCCCAUUGCCAUGAAGGGGUGCAGUAAGCACAAUAAUAGAUGCCCACUGCCCUGAGCGGGUGAAGAAAGCACAGUAACAGACACCCACGGCCCUGAGCAGGUGAAGUAAGCACAGUAAUAGACACCCACUGUGGUGAGCGGAUGAAGCAAGCACAGUAAUAGACGCCCACUGCCCUGAGAGGGUGCAGUAAGCACAGUAAUAGACACCCCCUGUCCUGAGCUGGUGAAGUAAGCACAGUAAUAGACGCCGACUGCCAUUAACGGGUGAAGUGAACACAGUAGUAGACACCCACUGCACUGAGCGGGUGCAGGAAGCACACUAAUAUAAACCCACUGUCCUGAAUGGGUGCAUUAAGCCAGUAAUAGAUGCACACUGCCCUGAGCGGGUGAAGUAAGCCCAGUAAUAGAUCAACACUGCCCUGAGUGGGUGAAGUAAGCACAGUAAUAGAUGCACACUGCCCUGAGCGGAUGAAGCAAGCACAGUAAUAGAUGCCCACUGUCCUGAGCGGAUGAAGCAAGCACAGUAAUGGAUGCCCACUGUCCUGAGCCGAUGAAGCAAGCACAGUAAUAGCCGCCCACUGCCAUGAGAGGGUGCAGUAAGCACAGUAAUAGACACCCCCUGUCCUGAGCUGGUGAAGUAAGCACAGUAAUAGAUGCCGACUGCCAUUAACGGGUGAAGUAAACACAGUAGUAGACACCCACUGCACUGAGCGGGUGCAGGAAGCACACUAAUAUAUACCCACUGUCCUGAAUGGGUGCAUUAAGCCAGUAAUAGAAGCACACUGCCCUGAGCGGGUGACGUAAGCCCAGUAAUAGAUGCACACUGCCCUGAGUGGGUGAAGUAAGCCCAGUAAUAGAUGCACACUGCCCUGAGGGGGUGAAGUAAGCCCAGUAAUAGAUGCACACUGCCCUGAGCGGGUGAAGUAAGCACAGUAAUAGAUGCCCACUGCCCUGAGCGGGUGAAGUAAGCCCAGUAAUAGAUGCACACUGCCCUGAGCGGGUGAAGUAAGCACAGUAAUAGAUGCCCACUGUCCUGAGCGGAUGAAGCAAGCACAGUAAUAGCCGCCCACUGCCAUGAGAGGCUGCAGUAAGCAUAGUAAUAGCCACCCACUGCCAUGAGAGGGUGCAGUAAGCACAGUAAUAGACACCCCCUGUCCUGAGCUGGUGAAGUAAGCACAGUAAUAGAUGCCCACUGUCCUGAGCCGAUGAAGCAAGCACAGUAAUAGCCGCCCACUGCC
This 1714-nucleotide long non-coding RNA is filed under the name Equus caballus (horse). Its description in RNAcentral is "lncRNA (ENSECAG00000044840.1)". The record is from RNAcentral. Lineage: Eukaryota; Metazoa; Chordata; Mammalia; Perissodactyla; Equidae.